GUAAAGCGCGUGUAGGCGGUUUGUUAAGUCUGAUGUGAAAGCCCUGGGCUCAACCCAGGAAGUGCAUUGGAUACUGGCAGACUUGAAUACGGGAGAGGGUAGUGGAAUUCCUGGUGUAGGAGUGAAAUCCGUAGAUAUCAGGAGGAACACCGGUGGCGAAGGCGGCUGCCUGGACCGAUAUUGACGCUGAGACGCGAAAGCGUGGGUAGCAAACAGGAUUAGAUACCCUGGUAGUCCACGCCGUAAACGAUGAGUACUAGGUGUUGCGGGUAUUGACCCCUGCAGUGCCAAGCC
This 294-nucleotide ribosomal RNA is filed under the name uncultured bacterium. Its description in RNAcentral is "partial 16S ribosomal RNA". It matches the Rfam family "Bacterial small subunit ribosomal RNA", at positions 560 to 852 of the family's 1533-position model. The record is from RNAcentral.